Long non-coding RNA from Zingiber officinale, 705 nucleotides. RefSeq lists it as uncharacterized. The record is from RefSeq and is a predicted model, not a curated record. Lineage: Eukaryota; Viridiplantae; Streptophyta; Magnoliopsida; Zingiberales; Zingiberaceae. The transcript is spliced from 4 exons.
UACAUGGAUUGGUAAGCUUUAGAAAUGUUUGAUGACAACUGUGCGGAUAGUUUAUUUUUGUUCCUUAAUGAAACUUCUCUUCAUGCAGUAAUAUGAUGAGUGUUGCUGCAUCAUUCUAUAAGGCAAUUUUAGCAGUUACAACAGGGAUAUCUGUGCCCUUCAACAACUUGGCUAUUAUAUACAAGCAACAGAGACUAUGCUUUGCAUCGGAAGUGAAUGGCAUCGUUAUCCUUCUUCAUUUUUUAUGCCUUCGUACAUUAAGGAAGUUCAAUGGAUAAAUGAAGGAUUUAGGGGUCUUCUCCCAUAUCCUUUUAAUUCAAGUUUGGGAGGCAUGACAACUACCCCACCUUAUUUCAAUGACAAGAACAAGGGUUCUCAUGGCCAAUAUGUGUCUAUUAAUGGGAUUUUCAAUGUCUUGCUUACCACGCUAAUCCUACUUCUGAUUGGAUUUGCAGCUUCAAGAUUUCAAACUCUACACCUUCUAUAUGGAGCUAGAUUUGCAAAAUCCAUAUCCAACUCGAGGAAGUGACUUAUUGACAUGGGAGAGAACUUAUUGGUAACCAAGGACAUUGUGAAGAUAGCAAAUUUUGGCCUUGCUCGUGAAGUUCAUUCGAAGCCACCAUUCACAGAAUAGGUUUCAACACGCUGUUUACAAAUCUCAAGUACUCCAGAGUUGAAAUUGAUGAAAUGCAGUUCGAGUGGGCA